This 254-nucleotide ribosomal RNA is filed under the name uncultured bacterium. Its description in RNAcentral is "partial 16S ribosomal RNA". It matches the Rfam family "Bacterial small subunit ribosomal RNA", at positions 524 to 776 of the family's 1533-position model. The record is from RNAcentral.
UACGUAGGGUGCAAGCGUUGUCCGGAAUUAUUGGGCGUAAAGAGCUCGUAGGCGGUGUGUCACGUCGGCCGUGAAAACCUGCAGCUUAACUGUGGGCGUGCGGUCGAUACGGGCAUCACUGGAGUUCGGCAGGGGAGACUGGAAUUCCUGGUGUAGCGGUGAAAUGCGCAGAUAUCAGGAGGAACACCGAUGGCGAAGGCAGGUCUCUGGGCCAUAACUGACGCUGAGAAGCGAAAGCAUGGGGAGCGAACAGG